AUCCAGCUGACGAGUCCCAGAAUAGAACGAGACGCCUGUCAUGAAU
RNAcentral lists this non-coding RNA (46 nucleotides) under Schistosoma bovis. RNAcentral also lists the same sequence under 1 other name. The record is from RNAcentral. Lineage: Eukaryota; Metazoa; Platyhelminthes; Trematoda; Strigeidida; Schistosomatidae.